GACGAACGCUGGCGGCGUGCCUAAUACAUGCAAGUCGAGCGAAGUUUUUCUGGUGCUUGCACCGGAAAAACUUAGCGGCGAACGGGUGAGUAACACGUAAAGAACCUGCCUCAUAGACUGGGACAACUAUUGGAAACGAUAGCUAAUACCGGAUAAUAGCAUUAACUGCAUGGUUGAUGUUUAAAAGUUGGUUUUGCUAACACUAUGAGAUGGCUUUGCGGUGCAUUAGCUAGUUGGUGGGGUAAAGGCCUACCAAGGCGACGAUGCAUAGCCGACCUGAGAGGGUGAUCGGCCACACUGGGACUGAGACACGGCCCAGACUCCUACGGGAGGCAGCAGUAGGGAAUCUUCCGCAAUGGGCGAAAGCCUGACGGAGCAACGCCGCGUGAGUGAAGAAGGAUUUCGGUUCGUAAAGCUCUGUUGUUAGGGAAGAAUGAUUGUGUAGUAAGUAUACACAGUAGAGACGGUACCUAACCAGAAAGCCACGGCUAACUACGUG
This 499-nucleotide ribosomal RNA is filed under the name uncultured bacterium. Its description in RNAcentral is "partial 16S ribosomal RNA". It matches the Rfam family "Bacterial small subunit ribosomal RNA", at positions 28 to 507 of the family's 1533-position model. The record is from RNAcentral.